GUGCCGGGCCAUCCAGCCUUUCCUUCCCUUUUUACUCUCAUCUAGAGCAGAAAUGAGAGCCUGAGACACCUGGAGAAGGGUUUUCAUCACUAAAAGGACUUUCUCUUCCUCCAUCUCCUUUGAGGGCAUUCAAUAUACCCAAAUGGUGUCCAGAGGAAAAUGCUAUCAUUUUUCGGCAUCCCUGUGCAGGGAGCAGAGCAAAGAGGAAACCUGCAAUGGACCCCAAUCCCUAAUUCACAGGGGCCUCUUUGGGAGUACUUGGGGGACCGCUCUGUGAGUGCUGUGGCCAUGGUGAAGGAAUUUUGCCUUAGCCACAGCUAGCUCUAUCCCCAGCCUUCUCAAGCACAA
Cyanistes caeruleus (blue tit) is the source of this 348-nucleotide long non-coding RNA. RefSeq lists it as uncharacterized. The record is from RefSeq and is a predicted model, not a curated record. NCBI's taxonomy places the organism in Eukaryota, Metazoa, Chordata, Aves, Passeriformes, Paridae.